RNAcentral lists this non-coding RNA (26 nucleotides) under Rattus norvegicus (Norway rat). Lineage: Eukaryota; Metazoa; Chordata; Mammalia; Rodentia; Muridae. The record is from RNAcentral.
GGGAACAAAACACUUCAAAGAGUAGU